GCAAAUCAACAGAACUUACUUCAACUUAUGAAAACUACACUGAAAUCUAAUGGAAGAAUUUAUUUAGCUGCAAAAACAUAUUAUUUUGGAGUUGGCGGUGGAAUGCGUCAGUUUGAAGAGGAAGUUGGGAAAGAAGGAAUAUUUACUGCUGAAGUUUGUCAGGUUUUUAAUAAAGAUGUUCAAAGAGAAAUUAUACUUCUCCAAUUCAGAUAAUAAAUAAAAUGAUUUCAGUUUAUUAA
Centruroides sculpturatus (bark scorpion) is the source of this 239-nucleotide long non-coding RNA. RefSeq lists it as uncharacterized. Lineage: Eukaryota; Metazoa; Arthropoda; Arachnida; Scorpiones; Buthidae. The record is from RefSeq and is a predicted model, not a curated record. The transcript is spliced from 3 exons.